This is a long non-coding RNA of Phyllostomus discolor (pale spear-nosed bat), 2056 nucleotides long. RefSeq lists it as uncharacterized. The record is from RefSeq and is a predicted model, not a curated record. The transcript is spliced from 2 exons. NCBI's taxonomy places the organism in Eukaryota, Metazoa, Chordata, Mammalia, Chiroptera, Phyllostomidae.
GUGGUUACUGGGGUUCAGAGAGGCCUGGGGGAAGAGGGAAGGGACAGGGUAGGUGACGGACAGAGGAAGCCUCAUCACCUGUUCCACAACCACCAGGGAUUAGGGACUGAGCUGAGGCCACAAGGAACUGAAGAUAGAGAGCAUGGCUGGGAGCCUGAGGGUGCAGGGAUAAGGAGGAAGGAGCUCCUAAUGCCCCCAGGGUUACCACCUGAGGACACAGGCAACACCACUUGGGGACUUUCCCAGGCCUCCUCCUGGCUCCCUGCCAGGCUUCCUCUCAGCCUCCCUCUAGGCCCCUCCUCCAUACCUCAGCCUACAUCCUCUGUGCUCUGCACACACCCUGCCAGACUCGCUUCCCACCCCUCCUGCUGGCCUGACCGCCCCAGGCCAGAGCCAGCUGAGCCCUGUCUCAGCCCUGGGGGUGGUGCUGUUUCUCGGGUGCUGCUCCCAGUGCCUGGAUCUGGGGACUAACAGUGGCUGGGUCGUCCCCACCUGCUUCUUCAUCACCUGUGCCACACUAGCCGGGCAGUGACACAACUUCACACCACGAAUUCAGUCCCUUCUCUCCACCCCUCCUGCUGUGGCCUCCUAGACAUGUGACCUGGGUAGUCACACAGAGCACCAGGCUCAGGAGGGCCCUGCAUGCAGAACUAUGGGUCUGAAGUGUUAGUUGGCUGGGGUGUCUCUCUGCCCGAGCUCUCCUGUGGUUCCCUCUGCUCCAGCUCUCAGGGCCGGGGCAGACCUGCAAGGUUCUGCUCUGGUCCUGCUGGCUGCCUUCCAGCCAUUCACUAGAUGCCUGCCAAACUGGUUCCUAACCUAAUGUGAAUGCCCAGACAAGCUGCUUAGGCAUCACCUCCUCCAGGAAGGCCACCCUGUCCUCCCCUUCCCAGAGGGUCAUGUGAGCAGAGUGCUGGGUGGGCUCAGGGCUGGGCGCAGCUGAAGUGAACCCUGACCUCUGGUGGGUGCAUCCAGAGCUCUGUGCUCAGUCUCUCACUUCCCGAUCAGUGCUAGGACAGGCCCACCUCCCUGACUCGGGCCUUCUCUUGGCUCCUGGGUCUUCUUCCCCCAUUUGCCUGUUCCCAAGCCUCAGUGGGAAGGACUGCAGAAGCUCAGCCAAACUGGAGGGAAGAAAAAGCAAAUCUGAAGGCAGCAGGAGGGGAAUUAAGUAACAGAGCAGAAAUGAGGACACAGCAUCCAAAGGACCACUAGAGAGGACCAUCCAGACAGCGCAGGGCAAAGCGGACACAGCCCUCGGAAGAGGACGGCGUCCCCGCUGUCCCUUACGUAAAGAGACUCCUUGCGGAGGCUGCGAGGCCACCAUUCGGCAGCGAGCUGUGACGUCACUGAAUUCGAGCCAAUGGAACCAGACUAGGGCUGUGAGCUCCGCCCUCUCGGUCCAGCUCCGCCCCCUGGGCCAAGUUCCCGGACCUCCCAUUUCCUGACGGGCGGAGGGGUUGGAAUCAGGGCCCGGCGACCCGGUGGAGAGAGAAACGCCUGACUUGUCGAGUCUCUUACGUUUACGCCGCCGCAGCUGGGCGGAGGUCUCCAAAAAACAGCGAAGCCAGAAGUACGUAACAGCGAACAGAAUCCCAGUGCAAUAAAAACCACCAGGGAUGGAUGUGGGUGGUGAUCGGAGUAUCUUCCCUAGCGUCUCCGUGUGUUACGAGAAACAGGGGCGGGGGGAAGUCAUGUGAUCGUCUCAUCAGAGACAGAAAAACAUUCUAAAAAAUUCAGUACGUGCUCAUGAUUAAGAAAAAAAAAAAACAAGAAUUCUCAACAAAUCAGGAAGGGGGGAAUUUCUUCACCUGGUGUGGCAGAUACUGAGCCUCGCUCAUCCGGCUCCUGUCCUAGUGCUUUCUUGAACUCUCAGAGGCUGGAGGCUAAAGCCCCCUUUUUCAGACUCGCCUGUGACCUGGUUUCUGCCGUGCUGUGUCCACUAGGAGAGCCCCUGGUGUGCUGGCAUGUUUACUGGCUGUAAAGCAAAAAAGCCCAAUUUUCUAUCCUUCCUGGAGCCUCUGGACCAUGCAAACACUUACAACAAAACCCCUUUCUGCUU